RNAcentral lists this ribosomal RNA (370 nucleotides) under uncultured euryarchaeote. RNAcentral's name for it is "bacterial SSU rRNA". It matches the Rfam family "Archaeal small subunit ribosomal RNA", at positions 515 to 884 of the family's 1478-position model. The record is from RNAcentral. Lineage: Archaea; Methanobacteriati; Methanobacteriota.
ACAUCCGUAGCUUGCUUUUCAAGUCUCAUGUGAAAUCUGGUCUCUUAAGGAUUGGGCGAGCAUGAGAUACUGUUAAGCUAGAGACCGGGAGACGUAAGAAGUACGAACGGGGUAGCGGUAAAAUGUGUUGAUCCCAUUUGGACUAACAACAGCGAAGGCAUCUUACGAGAACGGAUCUGACAGUGAGGGAUGAAGGCUAGGGGCGCAAAGUGGAUUAGAUACCCAUGUAGUCCUAGCAGUAAACACUGCACACUAAACAUUGGGGCCUCUUAGAGAGGUUUCAGUGCUGUAGCGAAGGCGGAGAGUGUGCUACCUGGGAAGUAUAGUCGCAAGGCCGAAACUUAAAGGAAUUGGCGGGGGAGCACAAGCC